UACGGAGGGUGCAAGCGUUAUCCGGAUUCACUGGGGUUAAAGGGUGCGUAGGUGGGUUGGUAAGUCAGUGGUGAAAUCUCCGUGCUUAACAUGGAAACUGCCAUUGAUACUACUGAUCUUGAAUUUUCUGGAGGUAAGCGGAAUAUGUCAUGUAGCGGUGAAAUGCUUAGAUAUGACAUAGAACACCAAUUGCGAAGGCAGCUUGCUACAGGGAUAUUGACACUGAGGCACGAAAGCGUGGGGAGCAAACAGG
RNAcentral lists this ribosomal RNA (253 nucleotides) under uncultured bacterium. Its description in RNAcentral is "partial 16S ribosomal RNA". It matches the Rfam family "Bacterial small subunit ribosomal RNA", at positions 524 to 776 of the family's 1533-position model. The record is from RNAcentral.